Gadus macrocephalus (Pacific cod) is the source of this 2517-nucleotide long non-coding RNA. RefSeq lists it as uncharacterized. NCBI's taxonomy places the organism in Eukaryota, Metazoa, Chordata, Actinopteri, Gadiformes, Gadidae. The transcript is spliced from 2 exons. The record is from RefSeq and is a predicted model, not a curated record.
UCCGAAUCGUGUGAUGCGUCCGAUCAGCUGCGUUUUUGGGGAUAAAAUAAGAGCGAUGACAUGACAGUACUCAUCGCUCUUAUUUUAUCCCCAAAAAUAUAUAAUAAUAAUAAUAAUUAUCACACCGUUGGUCUCCCACUAUAUGCGCUGUCAUCAGCACAAAUGAUCUGUCCCUAAAAGUUAAAAUCCACCAUCCCCCCUGGCUUUUUUUUAUAACUCGACCACUGCAUACGCACAUACACACGUAAACAAACACACACACACGCGCACACACACACACACACACGCACACAAGCACGCACGCACGCACGCACGCACGCACGCACGCACGCACGCACGCACGCACGCACGCACGCACGCACGCACGCACGCACGCACGCACACACACACACACACACACACACACACACACACACACACACACACACACACACACACACACACACACACACACACACACACACACACACACACACACACGUACACUCCCCUCCUGGGCUUCGUACAGCUUGUUUCAACAGAAUAAAGAACAUCCAAAACAUUUUUUGCCAUUUUUGUUUCAGACUGAUACUAUAUUGGUAGAUAUUGACACCGGUGAUGGUGUUUAUUUGGUUCUACUUUUCAUACUUUACAUGGUUGGAAAGCUGUGCAGCAUUUUAGCAGGAGAUUAGCAUGAUUUUGAUAUUAGUGGAUGUCACUGCUUUCGUUUAUUAAUUGCAGUUAAGCUGUUAUUGUUUGCAGGUAUUAUAUUUAUCAUUGUCAGCAAUUUUUUCACUAAAAGGCAUCAAAAUAAGGAGUUAAGAAAAAAUGCUGAGAGGUUAGCUUUAGCAAGAGUUUGGAGGGAGAUACAGGACCUAAUUAUUAAAAGCCUAACUGAAAUCAAAGAAACAGGUUGUGACAAAACCAGAAUUGUCAAUGAUGAAUUUAUUUUUUGAAGACGAUCUGUGUUUCUUUCGACCAAUUUUUCUUUCAACCAAUUUUUAUAAUUAGGUCCCAUAUCUCACUCCAUACUAGGGGUUAGGGUACUAGCAUGGUAGCGAGCCAGUGAAAGGUUAGCAAGCUAGCGAGCUGGCAUGGUAGUGAGCUAGGCUGUUAGUGAGAGGUUAGCGAGUGAGCAUGGUAGAAAGCUAGAAAGAGGUUAGCAUUGUAUCAGGCUAACGUGUUAGCGCGUCAGAGAGAGGACUGCGGGAGAGGGCUGCUUGCAAUGGGGAACACGUAUGAAGCGCUUGUGGAAUGGAUUAGACUCUGCGCCGCGGGAUAAGCUAUGAUUCGAUACCCUCAGAAACCUAUUGAGUCAUACGCUGCACGUCAAAGCCCCUCUUAUACACAGAUAUACCUUUAUCUAGAUGUGUCCGCGAGACGGGAGGGGAGAGAAAGAGAGGGAGAGGGAGAGAGAGAUACUAAUGGAGACGGAGAGUGGGGGAGGGAGCGCCGGAGAGAGAGGUUCUAUGUCAGCAUGUUCUAUGUCAGCACGGUCCUCACAGUGUUCAAAGCUGUACCCCGAUAGGACCGUGAGCGGGAAGGGCGGGGAUUCUGGCUGUCACUCAACCGUCAGAGUGCAGUUAUUAAGGAGUCCUGAGAGAUGUCACUCAGAGCCUGGGCGGCUGGCCUGUCAGUUGCUAGUGCCUGCUAGGUAGCCAGCAUACCUAGCCCUGUCACUCAUCUGAUGUGUAUGGGUAGUGGGAGCAAGAGGGCAAAAUACUACUGAGCUGAUAUUUGAUACGAACGGUGUAGGAGCCAUAUAAGAUCUUUUAAAUAUGUGUAAUGGUAAUGGUAAAACUUCCAGCAUUUUGGGCCUUUUUAACAAUGGCACCUGUGCGAGGGACAAUGGCCCCAAGACAACCAUCCAUCAAUUUCUCAACCCAAUCCUCAACACUUUGAACCUGUUUACUAGCGUAACUCUUUUGCCUCAUCAUUUACUUCUUCAGUCUUCCUUAACUCUUCUGGAACCCCGACCACACACGGCUAGUAAACGCAACCGCUCCUCAAAGGGGAUGUUUCCGGUGACACAGGGCGUCAUGGCGUCACAGUGCAUGGUUAACUUUGGGAGGUAUUGGCAGCGGGCGUUGCCUCAGACAAGCGGUACAGUGGAUUGAUGUUAUCCAAUAAGAGCAGGCUUAGACAGCCAUAGAAACUCAGAUCGCUUACUGUCUAUUCAUCAUAACGGAAAUACAGACCCACACUCUGGAGGACACUAAGGAUUUCCGCUUCAUAAUUUAUACAGUACAAUAUUCAUGUUCCACAGAUGUACAGUGCAUAUUCGCCCGUCAUGGCUGGUAAAUAAUCAAUGUCUCCGCAGUGUUUUCUGUGUUUGUCGAGGUCCACAGGGGAAACUUUAUCCUGCUGUGUCGGCUCCCUGUGUGUCUCUGCAUCAUGUGACCACACACACAUACACACACACACACACACACACACACACACACACACACACACACACACACACACACACACACACACACACACACACACACACACACACACACACACACACACACACACACACACACACACAUACAC